Molecule: long non-coding RNA, 819 nt
Filed under: Lingula anatina
Lineage: Eukaryota; Metazoa; Brachiopoda; Lingulata; Lingulida; Lingulidae
Description: uncharacterized LOC106173600, transcript variant X1
Source: RNAcentral
UAGCAACAUCGUCAUUUAUCGAGAAGAGAGCCACCGAGAAGAACGUGUUUGCAGAGAGAGCCAUAGAUUGUCUCCUAGUUCGUGAUUAUCUAGCAGCAGAUUGAAAAAGGCUCAGUAGUCCCCUACAGUUGCCGAGCUUGAGCAAGGCAAUGCAGUGGGUGCAAAAGGGUAUCACCAUCAAAGAAUGAGCCUGAAAAAGAAAAAAUCCCAGUGAAGCAGUCACAAUCCACAAGGGGGCAUUGUAAAGAUGCAGGGUUAACUCCAGUUGCUAUGGCGACAUGUGGGAACUAAGUACAGUUGUCCCAGGAAACUGGAGGAAGUGGAAUAAGUGUGUAGUGUAGUCUGUUGGGUUCAGUCUAGUUUUAUGUUUAUUUAUCCAUCAGUAAAAUGAUUAUAACUUUGAAUACUUGAUUUGAACUCUUUAAGUUAACAACAAAACCCUACAGUUUGAAAUCUGUUGUAAUUUUGUCUUUUAUUUCAGGAACUGAUAAGUACAUUUUGUUUCAUUUUAUAUUAAGUUGUCAAUGUUUUGAUCAGUCUUUCUAGAAGUAGCAAUUAUGUACUGUGUAAAUUAUUGAUGUAUUUUUACAUAUUACAACCUUGGUUCUUUAUAAAGUCCCUUUUCAGGUUUUAGGGGGCAAAUGCAAUAACUUUGUUCUUGCCUGCUGCUGCUGCAUCCUUUAUCCCUGGUUGUAAGUCUGAUUGUACAUUCAUCUAGAACACCAAAUGACAUGUUGCGAUAUUUCUGAUACUAUAUAAUUGUAAACAAAACCAACAUAAAUGAUGCUGAGCAUUUUUUUUUCAUAUGCAAUUUUUAGU